RNAcentral lists this long non-coding RNA (1204 nucleotides) under Phasianus colchicus (ring-necked pheasant). Its description in RNAcentral is "lncRNA (ENSPCLG00000005222.1)". The record is from RNAcentral. Lineage: Eukaryota; Metazoa; Chordata; Aves; Galliformes; Phasianidae.
AUGCAUGCAGGACCCAAGAGAACCCAGGAUCGAAAGCAGAGCAGCCUGCUGAGAACAUACUUCUUGAGCAGUGAUUGGCACAGCUUAGGCAAAGUUGCAAUGGCAGUACGUUGCUGGUUUUUUAAGAACUUAUGGUCAUUAUGGAAGAUAAAUGACAGUCCUUGGAGCUCAUGGCUGAAGUACACAUUAGUCACUGGUAAAUGAUGUAUAAAAAAUAUUCAGCUUGCAAAAAGAUAAUGGUGGUUCCUAUUUGAAAAUGCAGAAAAAUGCACAUAUCUGGAGCACAAAAGUGUCUCAUCAAUAUCUCUGUGGGUAGAAAACUAACCUGUCAAGAGGAAAAUGUUGGGGAGAUGAAGAUAUUUAUGCACGUACUGCACUGAUCAUAAUGAUGUAAAGGACUAUUAAAGCAAACUUAAAAUAUUAGAUACUGCAAAUAUACAACUUAAUUUUUUUUUUUUUUUUUUUUUUUCCCAUGCAACCUAGGAAUGCUCUAAGAAAUUUUGAUAAGGAAUUGCUCAUUCUACAUCUUUGACUGCCAGUGAUCCUACCUUUCCCCAUUUCACUGUUACCUAUAAGUUAAGUAGUUAUUCUGGAUUUGAUCUUUUAUUAAUGGCAAAGUCCUUCAUUCAUUGCAGUGCUGGGACUUGAAAGCAGGGAAGACCAGAGGAAAGAGUCUGUUUUGGUAACUGGUAUUGCCAGGACUGUAGCAGCAUCAGUGACAUGGAGAUACAGUGACCUUAUGCCUACAGUCCUCUCUGGCUGCCUUCUCCUAGACGAUGAUCAUAAAAUCAUAGAAUAAUCAAGGUUGGAAAUGACUAAAUGAUGGUCAUCAUUUGAUGACUAAAGAUCAUCUAUUCCAACCGUUGACCCAUCACCACCAUGAUGAUUCCCAGGUGUAAUUGGUGCCUUAUUACAGGGAAAAUCUCACUGCCUUCCAGGAAGGGGGCAAUUUUGCCACUUUCUCAGCGUGAUUAUCUCAUUUUAGGACUCCAGUCUCAAGAUUUUGGUUAGCAGCAGACCUUGCUGAGAACCACAUCUCAGUGCCAGGCUCUGUGUGCCAUAGCUGCUAUGGUGAAGGAAGCAGCAGCCAGGAGAGGAGUAUUUAAUUUCUAGUCUCUGCUCCAGAUCUGUUUCUCCUGUGACACUUCACUGAAUCAAUUCAACACACUCCUCUGGAAGAAAACAGAUAUGUAUUUUACACAUA